UUCGAUGAUUACCAAUCACAAAGCCACCACAUAAAGCAGGAGGCUCGUUCCAUCAUUUUACUGAUUGAACAUGGUGGAUGAAUAACAAAUGACCAGACGUCACUUCUCAGACUAAUGAUGGAACAAACCUCAGUGCUAUUUCAAACUGCUGAAGCUACUGCCAAAAAGCUGAAUCCAGAUAUAAUAUAAACGCAACUAUAGUGCUAUGAGUUUUUCCCUCUAGGUUUUGGUGACUGCCGAGGCUGCUGGUUAUAUGGAGAUGCACGCACAUCACUUAAGCUCCUCAGUGGUUGUCCGUUCCUUGUUAUAAAUCUAAGGUAUACCAUGAGGGACUUUCACCAGGUGCUGGUCCAAAUACUAUAAUUAACUUGGCGAGUGAUGAAGAGAAAGAGGAAAGGGAAGAUUUUGUCAAACUAUCCACUUAGAACCUGUUUGGUGUCCACGUUUCCUACAGUUCAAUUGUUUUAUGAUGUUUGGUUAACAACUACCCACGUUUUCAAACUCUAUGGGGCUCAUACAAAUUGCGUUCCUAACAUAGGAUAAGCGAAAGUAACUCGUUGUUGCUUUUGUCAUGGCUGCUGUUCAGAAAACACUGCAACCUUUACCAAAAAAUUAAUUAGCCCUAUCUGUCCUCAACAUCACGGUCGUCUCCCCUCCUCCACGAGUGGUUUUUUUUUGCUGCAAUAUUCGCCUCCCUGAGCUCUCCUCCUCCACAGAUCCCCUCUUCUUAAAAAAUCAGUGCUCCUCCUCUCGCUUAACACACACUGUCACAUUAUUUUCGUCCAUUCUCUCACAAAGACCGUCACCAGUGUUAGCUGAGUGUAGAUCAAGCCCAUCUGCCACCGAUCUACUGCCAUGAUGAACUCCUUUCGCGGUUGAAGAAGACAUGCACUGACCCAGGUAAUUUUCUUCACACUUGACCUAAGAAAAAUGUUUAGAUCAUGCCUUAUCAGCUAAAACAAACUGUUUCUCUAACCAAAAUGUUCUCUUGCUGUGUGUUUUCUUUGCCAGAACCAAAGAGAGUAUCGAAAUCAGCCUCCUGGAAAGCUCAAGCACAAGCACCUUAUCAAUCUCUGUCUCGGUUGCACAAGAAAAUUCAAGGUCAGUUGCUCUGUUUCGGUUCCACAAUUACUUUAUAUGUCUGAUUCUCUUUUUACAUGUGCCUUUGGCUCUGCGUGGUGUGAAACCAUCAAAAUUUGAACAUUUCGUUACACUGUUAUGCAUAGCUAGGCACAAAUACAUAUGCUUUCGUGUUAAAGACUUUGGUUUUGAUGUGUUUUUUUUAUUUAAAAUCGGAGCUAGCUGGUCAUUACCUUCAUUAUCUCUACUAAAUUCGGUUUAGCAUUAAUAGAAUGAUUCUUUAUUUUUGUUUUAAAUUAGUAAAUUCAAUCAAGAAAAGGUUAAUCAUUGUUGUCAAUGGAAUGUUUGAAAAGAGUGAAGUAUUACUUUAUGAUAGCUAGAAUUGCAGCAAAAAAUUUUUGAUCAACUAGAACAGGAUAAAAAUUAUAGGAUUUUGUCAAGCAUAAAGGAUGUGAUUGCGGAGUGUGGAUUGUGAAAAGGGGAUGGUCUUUGUUUUCUCAGGAAAGAAGAGAGCAUAGGAUUUUGUAAUACGUGGAUAUUGGUGUUGUGGAAUUUAAUAGUUUCUUUUUCACCGGUUUAUUAGUUUAUAGUGGCAAUUUAAAGUUUCCAGGAUAGGAUUUUUGUGGUUGCAAUCGUAUAACAUGAAGGGAAGUUUCAAAGUUUUAAGAGGGGAUGACAAAAGUUCUGGUUUAUAAUGUAUAUAUGAAGGGAGAAGAUUGUGUGGGGAUUUUGUUGUUGCAAGGAAAGGGAGAGGGUGCAUUAAAUCUGUUGGUUUUUUCUUGUGUUUGUACUUUCUAUGCUUGUAAAUAGUCUUCAUUCACAGGUCAAAGGAGUGACAUAUAAGCUUUCUUUUGUAGAAUAUAAACUGAAGGUUUUCUUUGUCUAAACUUCUGCCAACUGUAAUGCUAUAUACAUCACAUAUUAACUAUUAUCAUUAUCUUCAUUAGCAUUCAAAUUGAAGAAAUAUUAGUAAUACUAGCCAAUGUUAUACAUCACAUAUUAACUAUUAUCAUUAUCUUCAUUAGCAUUCAAAUUGAAGAAAUAUUAGUAAUACUAGCCAAUGCAAACAUUGGCUUGUUGAAACAUUAAUGGAAAUAAGCCUAGCAAUUACAGUGUUAAGCUGAUUAUGUUAAGUCUAUGUUCUUAAUUUGCAUUUUGUAUUUGAGGUUGCGAUUUAUUAAUUAAGAUAGAUUGUGCAUUACAUGUCCUUUACAUCGUCUCUAGGAAAUUAACUUGUUAAUUGUAUAUUAGACAAAAUAUUUUAACUGAGAACAUGGACGAUUCUCAAUCACAAGAUAAGACUUGUUGGACUAGAGAGAUGUUGCAUGUUUUUUGUGACAUAUGUAUUAAAGCAAUUGAGCAAGGUAUGCGACCCAACAUACAUUUUGACAAAGCUGGGUGGAAAUAUGUUAUGAAUUGCUUUAAGGAUCAAACUGGUCAUGCAUUAAUGAAAGCACAAUUAAAGAAUAAGUGGGAUGGAAUUAAAAAAGAUUAGAGAAUAUGGAAAAUGUUGAUUUCCAAAACAAGAGUAGGAUGGAGUGCCGAACUUGGAACAAUUGUGGCUCCUGAUGAAUGGUGGAAAGCUAAAAACCAAGUCCGUUUUUUUCAGUAUGUUUACAGCUGUAAUAAACUGUUUCCUUGCGUGUUUUUACAUCAAAUUUUAUGCAUUUUUAUCUUCAUUGUCCCUUAUUGUAGGAUAUACGCUGGGCAAGAAAGUUUAGGCAUGCUGGCAUCGAUCCAACAUUGUGUUGUAAAUAUGAUAUGAUGUUUACAAACACUGUUGCUACCGAUCAGUAUGCUUGGGCUCCAUCACAGGGUCUGAAUUCUGAUGAAGAUGGUGUCGGUCAAAGGCAAACUAACGCAGUUCAUGAGGACCCUCAUCUUGAGGAAGGUAGUGGAGAUUCUGAGGAGGAUGGUCUUUCAAAUUUUGUUGCUGAUGUUAAUAAUAUGGUGGUUGGUGUCAAUUUUGCCAAUAGCACAAGCAAUCCCACUAGUAGUAGUGGGAAGAGAAAAGGUAUGCAACAAAGUUCCCAAUAAAAUGAGAAAAAAAAAGGGGUGCCGAAAAGGGAUCACAAUUGUUUUUGCGAUUAGAUAAGUUAGUGGAUAAUGUGUCUACCAAGAGUGAAUGCACAUCAAGUGUUUUGGAUAAAAAAGGUUGUAUCAUAGAAGAGGUGAUGAAAGAGUUUCACUCCAUUGAUGAAGUGGUGUUCGAAAGUGAGUUGUAUUGUUUUGCAACUGAGUUUUUUAUGGUUAGAAAUAGGAGGGAAAUGUGGGCAGCAAUUGGUGAUAUGGACCGAAAAUUUCAAUGGCUGAAAUUAAUGUUCUAGCGAAGGGCAAACUACCGACCUUGAAGUAAGUUUACAUUUGAUAUAUGGAAAACUUACAGUUAUGUAUGUUAUUGUGUGUUGUCUGUUGCAGCAAUUAAAUUUUGUUUUGUUUUAUAUGUUUUGGUAAUUAUUGCAUUCAUUUCAUAUUUGAAGUGUUUUUCAAUGUUUAAAACACUUAUCAUGUUUGGUUUGUAUACCAAUGAGUCGUUAACAUAUUGUAUGUUUAUGUAUUUUUUCGCAGUUAACAGUCCACAAAAAGGUAAGGUUCAUGAGGUGUUGCUGCAGUUGUAGAAUUGUGAAAUGGUUGAUGCAAACGAUUAUGCCUUUGCUGUUUUUCCCAGGUUUCUUAACUUGUAACGUAGAAAAUGUUGAGCACUUCCUUUGUAUUUGUAGUUGUAGUGUAAUUGAUUAUGUUUGAGAUGUUUUUAACAGCUAUUGUUGUACCUUUUACAAGUUGUUAUUGUAGGUUUCAUGUUGACUUCUUUAGAUUAGUUUGAAUGGCUGGAAAACUUUGUGUUCAGUUUGCUUUUUCAGCCUUGAAUUUCAUAUUGUAACUUAACGGAUUGCAUUGUUUUUUAUGAGUUGAAUGGCUGUUGAUUGGUUGAAUGUAUAUUGAGUUGAAAUGUAGUUAAUGCUGUGAAGUAUUGUUCCUUACUUGAAUGUUUGAUAGUGGGUUGAAUGAGAGUUGCUGGGUUGAAUGGUUGGUAAUGGUACAAAUACAGGCUUGCUGAUGGGUAUGGCAGUAAAUAUAUAUUGGUUUGUGUUGUGCGUGUGUUUCUAUUUAAAAUGCAUUAUCAGUCCAAAGCAUUUUCAUUGGCUGGACACAAAUUUUGCAAGCAUUCCCACAUGUAUUGAGGGCUGUUUCAGGCGAUUUUAUGUCUGUUUUUACACUGCAACGUCAAGUUCAUUGACUUUAGAAGGUUAGUUGUUGAUUUUAGGGAAGCUUUUUAGUUAAUAAAGCUUUAUCUUUAUGUUUUGUUACCAAAUUUAGGUGGUAAAUGAUUUUAUGGCUGUUGUUAUUGUCAAUAAAACAAGUGCAUUUAUGUUUUUUGCGAAAUGGCUACUGUUAUUGUCUAUACCCGUAUUGCUUUAGGAAAGGUAUCAACUUAAAAUCACUUGUAUACCCUGCUAAGCAUCACUGGAUGCUUUACUUUUGGUGUGGUAUGUUUCCAUCUUAAUUCUUGUGAGGUGUGUGGUUUGGUGAAGCUUGUCUACUAGUCUGUUGUGCAGGAUAGGAAUUGUAUCCACUUCAGAUGCAUAUUAAUUAACACAUUAUAUUUUCAAUCCUAUUUUGUUUAAUUUUUAUUAGGGAUUGCUGCAAGUUAGAUGUUACAAAUAAUGUUGAUGUCGCCAUUAAUCUUAAAAAUAUUGUAAACAAAUUACGUAAAAAAAUUGUCAUGUUACCGUUACGUUGCAUGUUGAAAAUUACAAUUAUUGUUGUGUUAAAAAAUAUUGGAUGAGUUAUGUAUAAUUUAAAGAUGUUCGAUAUGUAGCGCUUGAUUGAACAUAAAUGUUUUGUGUUAAGACCGCCAUUAACGAUACAAAAAUUCAAAACAAAUUAUUCAAUGAACAUGUAUUUUGUACCGGUACGCUGUAGGUUGAAAAUGGAUAUUAAUUUUUGUUUGUAGAUAUGGAUGCAAAUUGGUUUAAUGCGCUUUUUAAUGACCAUUAUGAAAAUGUUAUGAAUAAUGUUGGUCGGUAUGUGUCUGAUGGGUUUGCUGGUACAAGUUUUGUAAGUGGUUUUGGAGGUAGUUUUGGUAAUGGUUAUGGGAACUACAAUAGUGAGGUUCAGGACGACGACCUAAAUCAACAGGAUGACGAUGACGAUGGCGAUUUAUUUUGGCAUAGAGAGUGUGAUCGCACUAAAUUAGUCAUCUGCAUUGCUGGAGCACUGGCUUUGUAUUACAAUAUGUAUAUUUAUAAAGAGCCAUGUAUGGAUUCAUACAACAUUGGCAUGCGAUGGUUGAUUGAAAUUUUAAAUGGGCAUUGGACCCGUUGUGUGAACAUGUUUCGGAUGGAUGCUGACACAUUGAAGAGUUUGGCUUUUGAGUUGGAAACGAUAUACGGGUUGAAACCGUCUAGACGGAUGAGUGUUAUUGGGAAAUUAGGAAUGUUUCUCUACACUUUAGCUCUCGGUGCGUCGAAUAAGGAAGUACAGGAGCGUUUUCAGCAUUCAGGUGAAACCGUUUCCAAAAAUUUCAACGAGGUUCUUCGUUCUGUGUGCUUGUUAGCAGUUGAUUUAAUAAGACCAGUAGAUCCAGAAUUCACAACAACACCAUUGAAAAUUGAAAUGAAUCCGAGAUACAUGCCCUAUUUCAGGGUAAGCAAUACUAUUUACAAGUAGUUAAAUAUUUCAAAAGGUUAUAAUCAAAUAUUUACGUGCAAUUAAAUUGAUUCGGCAACAAAUUUUUUGUUUUUGUAGAAUUGCAUUGGAGCGGAUGAUGGAACACAUGCACGUGCAUGUGUUUCACAAGAAAAUCAAAUACCAUUUAUUGGUAGAAAAGGUAUAUCGACGCAAAAUAUAAUUGCAGCAUGUAGCUUUGACAUGCAAUUUACAUUUGUUUGGGCUGGGUGGGAAGGUAGUGCUCAUGAUACAAGAAUAUUUUAUGAGGCGAUUGGAAAUACAAACAUACACUUUCCGUGGCCACCGGAAGGUAGAUUUUCUUUAAAAAAAUAUGUUUGUUGUUCAGCUGGUCUAAUUUGUUUUCUAUGAAGUUUUGUGUAAGCGUUAAACAAUUCUGACAUUUGUGCAGGGAAGUAUUAUCUUGUUGAUUCGGGAUAUCCGAAUGAGUACAGUUAUUUAGGUCCAUUUAGAGGGGAAAUAUUUCAUCUUCCAGAAUUUCAUCGACGAGGACAACCCCAGAGUUGGGAGGAAGUAUUUAACCGAGUCCAUUCAUCAUUACGAUGUGUAAUCGAACGUACAUUUGGAGUUUGGAAGAAGAAAUGGCGAAUCUUGCAAACCAUGCAUGAGUUUCCUUACAAAUCACAUGUUAAAAUUGUUGUCGCAUCAAUGGUGCUGCACAAUUAUAUUCGACGGAAGUUGGGCCAAGAUGUUGCAUUCAACAAGUUUGGUAGCCACCCUGAUUUUGUUCCUCCAGAUACUUUUCCCGAUGUCGUUCCACAAUCACAAACAAGUGCACACUAGAGGGCGUCGUGUAUGGAUUAUAUUCGUGAUAGCAUUGCAAAUAGUUUGAUGGGGCAAUAAUGUUUAAUUGUAAUAACAAAGCAUGCUUUUAUUAUUUUGCCAGUAUUUAUAUGGAAAAAACAUUUUAUUUCCUCUUAACACAAAGAAUUAUUUUAUUUAUGUCUUUUUUAGUCAUUUUGGGUACAAAAGCAACCACAACCACAAUUUAAACAAACAUGCUUUUAACCACAAUAAAGUCAAACCACACUUUUAACCAAACACUCAAAAUAUAUACACAAACCACAGAAAAAGUGCUUUUUGAAAAAAAUCACUUUUUUCCAACCGCUACCACAAUAAUUGCAGCAAAAACAAAUACACUCCUAGAGUGGCCUAACCAUCUCAUGCAUUUAUUUCAUAUGCUUUUAUAUCCAUUUGAACUUAUGAAUUUCUAUUUGGUUAUGUAAUAUUGUGGAUCUCUUUCCUCCCUUUUUGAUGUGCCAAAGGGGGAGCAAAAUGGAUUGUGAUGCAUGCAUAUUAUUUUUUAAAGUUCAUUUAUUAUAUGCAAGAAUUUAAUUAUGGAAGUUGGCUUAUUAUAUGCAUGAAUUUAAUUAUGGUAUUUUUUGUUUUAUUGAUAGCAUGUAAUUGAGAUUUUAUGGUAGCAUUUUUUAUUUGUUUGCAUACCUUAAACAUUGAUAGGGGGAGCUUCAAAUAUUUGAGAUACAUCUUGUUUGGGAUUGGAGUAUAUUAUUGGAUAAUAUAUCAUCUUUAUUUUCUUAUUGCACAAUUUGUUUGUCAUCAUAAAAUACAAAAGAGAGAUUGUUAGCCUAAAGUUCUUUUAACACCUAUGGAUUAAUAAUUUCGAUGACAACAAAACAUUAGUGAAUUUAAUAUGCAUGUCAUAAGCUUGAAUGUUGUAGAAAUUUUUCUAUGUGAAAUGGAAGCAAUAUGGACUCAUUGGACGUGUAUCUACCCAAUUUUUUUAUCCAUGUUUUGAUAAAUUUUCAAAAAAAAUACAAAAAUAGAGAAAAACAACAAAAAUCCAAAAAAUAUAUUUUUUUAAUAUAUUUUCGUCAAUUGUAGCAUUGUCUCAAAAGAAUUUAAAUUUCCAAAGAUCCUGGGAACACAUUCGACUUUGAACGUGUUAUUUUUAAAAAAUCGUCGAUUUUCCUCAUUCGAGGCAAUGUUGAUAAGAAAAAAUCAAAAUUUACAAAAAAAGAAGUUGAGGGACCAAGUUUGGAAACCUAACAAUAUUUUUGCCUUUAAAUACUGGUCUUCAACACACACAAAAGUAGGAGGGGGGAAAUUUGGAAACAAACAAAGAGAGACAAAAUAAACCCUUAAAAACCUAUCUCUACCCACACCAACCGCCCCACCCAUUCAGUUGACCGCUCUCUUUUCUCCAGCCAAAGCCCCCGCCCCCCUUCUUUCUCUAGUCUCCCUUCCCAGACCCAUACAGACCUGGCCACAACUCCCACCCUUCCUCUGAUCUACCUCCCACUGAAGACCAACCCCAAAACAACUGUUAAUUCAGCCUUACAGAGAGGCAUCCCCAUCUCCUUCCCACAUUACCUCUCGUCUUCAACUUUCAGCACCGAAGCCUUCCCCUCAGUAGUGUCUUCUUCUCCUUAAUACCAUCAACGUCGGCCUCCACCAAGCACCACAAUAGCAGCUGAUCUCCUCCCUCACAGCCCCAACAUCAUUUUGCUUUCCAUCCCAGUCAUUUCCUUCUCUCACCCAAACAACCCACAGUCUUCACCAUCAGCCGUAUCAGCGUCUCCUCCAUCCAGCACCGGCCAGACUCAACAGAAGCCUAGUUUCCGGAGAUCCCUUGGUCUUGCCGCCACCUGAAACAGAGAUGAUUGGGAAAGCAAAAGAAAAGGACAGAUCUGCAGAGAGGUAAGCAGACCCAAAACAGAGAAGAAGAGAAAGAAAAAGCAAGAUUGAAAACAAAGGAAAAAAAUUAAAACCAACUGCCUGCGGUGUUUUCGGUUGUUUUGCAGGUCAUCGCCAGUGUAGGGAGAUAGAGAAGAGGAAGACGUUCCCGAUCCACCGGUUUUAUUGCCAGUGGCGGCGGCACGUGGAGCAACAUGUCGCCAUUGUUCCAGCACUGUUUUCCUAGGGGGUCUAUUUUGUAAUUUUUAAAUUGUUUAAUGUAAUUUUUGUUUAGUUGUUGAAUUUUUAUAAUUUGUAGUGUGUAUGUAUGUAAAAAAUAGGAAAACAAAAAAAUGAAAAAAUAUAGUAAAAGUGAAGGUGUGUGUUGGUAUUCGUUUUAUGGAUGUUUUAUUUAUUCAUUUUAUUUUAUUUUAUGAUAAAAUCGAAAAGGCAAAAGAAGAAUUUAAUAUUUUGAUUUGCUCAUGAUAAAGCAUUACGAACUUAUAUGUAAGUCGUAUUUCUAAUAUUCGAUGAAAAGAUAAAAAUUUUAAAACUUCUUUAACACAUCAAAGCCACGAAGCAGCUUACCUCAGGUAAGGUGCGUUAGGGGUGCUAAUACCUUCCCUAACCACAACCAGUCCCUUACCCAUGAAUCUCUGACAAGACCACCACACCCAGGUUUCCUAGUAUCCCUCAAUUAAAAACUAGGUGGUGAAUCCCAAGAACCAAUCAAGCAAACAAAACAUAAUGAAAAAUCACCAGUCGACGCCGCGCGGCUGACAUGCGACAGAAUGGCGACUCCGCUGGGGAAGGUACUGUUUCUGACAAAAUUGGACUAAGCUUUGUAUAUUUGAUGUGUUUAUGUUUUUUCUUUUUUGUCUAUUUUUUGUAAUGUAUUUUUCAUGCAUUUUGUAGAAUUGUUUCAUGCAUCACAUGUCUUUAUUUUUGAAAGCACACACAAGCUUUUAGAUUAGUGGGGAUUUAGCGAUCUACCCUAUAACUAUUGGCCAGGGUUCAGAUGCGUGAAACACCCAACUCAUAUCUGAGUGCCUACUUGGUAAUGGUGGGUGUACGUACCUUAACCAUUUCUUGCAACACCCCUAUACUGUCUUUAUGAAGAUCGUCACUGAGCAGAUAUAAGACCCUUUUGAGACCAGAUAGAAAACCUACCCAUGUUCAUAUAAUGAAUAGAACUUGUCCUUAGGUUGUAUGUGCUAUUGUUUUUUUUUUCAUCAGGGCAAACCCUUCUUGAAGCAUCUUGAACUCAAGACUUGUAGGUGACAUAAUGGUCGUCACUCAGAAAAUUUUCAUUGUAGAGCUUAGGCAAGAAUCACGAGUCUUGUUUCAUCAUACAAGAGUUACAACCAUAUGUCACCCCUCGAAGGGCGAGUUUAUCAUAUAGAUUACAUGCUCAUACAUUUAUCAUGCAUGCACCGGGAUGAAAAGUAGGUUCCCUCACCCGAGAUCUACUAUACUGGACUGAGAAAAGUUGGAAAAUAAAGAAUGGAUCCGAUAAGGCUCUUUGUCAAAAGGAAAUUGAGAGCAUCAAAUGUGAAGUAACUAGACUCUUUGAUCUGUUUGAACAAGUGUUGAACUUCAAGAGUGAAAAUUGAAUGUCUGCACAGCCUCCUAUAGAAGCACUAUCAAUCCAUGUCCCACACAAGGAAAAUAUAAUUGACUUUUCUCCUCAGCACUCCAUCAGUAGAUGCCAUAAACACUGAAGUGGCACCACAUCUCCUUCAUUUCAGUCAUAAACAGCAGCAACGCCUUCAAUAAUCAAUGAAAGAUAAUCUCUUUUUUGGUUUAACUGCACUGUUAAUUGUUCACCGACUCCACAUUUUUCAAUGGCAUCCAAUAGCUGUCAGCUUUUCACGCCAUGAGCAGAGGCCUUCUUUCUAGCCAUAUCUGCUGUGAACUCCAUUCCAGUCCAGCAACACAGGAUGUUGGUAUGAAAAACAUGACUUUACAUUGAACUUCAACGUAGCAGACCUCUAUUUGUGGAUCUGCCAGUAAGGAAUCCAAGAAGGAAUGAAGUAGUUUAAGAUCAUUUUCUCCUACCAGUGUCAGAAUUAAAAUGCAGAAGUAGCGAGAAGAGACAUGACUAAACUGAAAAAUAUGAAGAAGACUGAAACUUUAAUAAAGCAGAACUCCCUUUUUUGGUGCUUGUUUGUUACACCACCAGUGAGGAAUUAAAGAAGAGACAUAAGAGUUUUAGAUUCAUUAGUUUCUCUUAUAAUAGAGACAAUACAUGAUUCCACAUGUUGGCAGCGGUGGUGUUGCGUGCUACCAAGAUUACCUAGCUGUUGGGAGGUUUCAACAAUCCUCAAACAACCAUAACAACAUUGCGAGAUUGACAUAAUGCGGCCGUGAGGAUUGCCGAAGGAAUUAAGCAAGCUAUGAAGAUGGAAAAUAUUGAAGGUUAUAUCAUGGGUGCUAGAACAAUGAUGAGAGUUGAGUCAGAAGAUGUUCCUGAAAGGGGUAUAAUCCAGACAAGAGAUAUGAAUAUCAUGGUGGGGUCUUGGACCAUUCAUUUGAGUAGUUGCAAAAUUUUUAAGAAUCGAGAUCGGAUGAUAGUGAGCAAGAAGCAAGUUGAGUUUGUGAAAGAUGAUGUCAUCAACCGUAUUGUCACCAGAACAUCCUCAGAUUGACAAAAGAUCGAAAGCUUGGCCAAACACAAAUAUUGCCAGAAAAGCUGAUCCAAGAAUGGCGCUGAAUUGUCAAUCAUUUUGUUAUGGAUUUUUGCCCUUCUGCAUUUUGUUUUGGGAUCACACCUCAACCUUGAACGAAACAUGUCUUUUCUUUGUCUUCCUGUUGUUUUGAAAUCAAGAGAUGUUUUUUUUUCAAAGGGUAUUUUGACAAAAUAUUUUGAUCAAACUCCAACAUGAAAAAAUAAGGCUAGUCAAUCCUAAAUGGUUAAAAGUGUUUUGAUUGCAAAAGACUCGAUAUUUGUUAAAAUGAUAAGAUAAACAAUAGGAGGUGACCAUACAAAUUUUGAAUUCACAGUUGAAAUUAAACUAAUACCAUGUAGCUAAAUUUUAGCAGUAUGCAUAAUGACAUGUAGUGGAUUCAGUAGUUAUGGACUCGUGAAUCAUGAUUCUUACAAGUCCAAAUCAUCACACUAGAUGAGAUCAAAAUUUAUCGGUUCUAACUGACCUUGCUUGAAAUGAGAAAAGGCCAUUUUUGUUCAUCCCUUCACUUUCUAAAGAUAUAUAUCCCUUACAAUCCCUAUUUGAGCCUGAUAUAAUAUUUCUUUUUUAAAAGAAACCCUGACUAGGAUCACACCCCACACUAAGGCAAAUAAGAGAUUUUUUGUUAGUAAAGAUGAAGACAAUGUUAGAAUCAAUGGAUAAGGGGAAGUUUAAGAAGAAAAAUCCAACAAUUAAGAAAAGACUAAAAGAAAAAAAAAACAUAGACUAGGGGCAUGUAAGAAAACUUUGAGGAAGGCUACGAGAAAGCAAAAUAAAAUAAAAUAAAAUAAAAAAAUAUAUAUAUAGUAAAAAUUGUAAACACUUAAAGGCAAGUCAAAGAUUAAGAAAGAAGAACACCUAUCUAGCCUAGGAAGGGCAAACGAAGUUUCAAUCAAAGAAAGAGACAACGAAUACCAAAAGUCAAUACCAGAAAAAAAAAAUACUAAGUUGCAAACGGUGUCUUUUGGUAUCAAUGAUAAAGUCAAUACUAGAAAAAAAAAUACUAAGUUGCAAACGGUGUCUUUUGGUAUCAAUGAUAAAGUCUCUAAUGAUUAGAUUGAUUAUUCAUCAAAGAAAAAGUUGAAUUUGCUUUAUGACUCAUCUUAAGAGAAUUCUGACCUUUGAGGUUAACAAGGUUAUAUGUCACUUUCUCUACAAAGACAACAAGAGAAGAAAAGUUGAUGAAUAGUUGAUGUUGAUCCUAGGUCCUUAAAACCCUCAAACACCUUUUGAGCCUGUGAAUUUCCUUUCUUUCUAACCAUGAACCAUAACCUGCAUUACGUACUUUUAAAAGUCAUUUUCGAUCGAGUAAGCAAUCUGAACCGAUAAAUGGUGCUCUCAAAACUAGAAGAGCUUUUCUAUAGGGGUCGUGACUUCAUGAAUUAAGCUAUUGAUUAUUAUGCAUGUUGAUAAAAUUGGUGCUAAGAAAAAGAAAACAAUCUUUCUUGAUAAGUCCUCAAGUUUUGACUUGAGCCUUUUGUUUUCUUUGAAAUUUACAGAAGGUCACCUUAUUCAUAGACCAUCAAAUGAUAUACCCAAGAUCAAUGAUUGAAACUGAUACAAAGAACCAUGGAAAAAGCCAUUUUAAUCUUACAACGGGUCAAUUUUUGUUUUCGAAAUACAAGACAAUUAAAGGAAUAUAUUGAAUGACGUGUGUUGGGUUUUUGACCAGAAAGCAUGAUUUUCGAAAGAUCUUUUCCAAAACUAAUAUCUCUCUAAUUUCAUUUCAACAAUUAGACUUGAAUAGACAUGAAAUUUAAAAUAUGAUAUUUGAUUCCAGAACAAAGAAGAACAUCGAUUGAGUCUGUGAAAUACUCGAUAAAAAUGACAUCAACUCUUCUCAACACUCCUUGAAAAGUUGAGCCACCUGGGGGCAAUACAAUAAACCCUAAAAAGAAAAAACAAGUAGUAUUCAGAUCAGUCGGGGGGAAAUGAAAGAUGAUUAAAUGAUGAAUCAAUAAACUGAUGAUAAUGGUGUUCAAAGAAAGAUAAUUAGAUGAACGAGCACAUUCAGAUCACAUCAGGGGCAAUAUUGUUCAAAAACAUUCCAUGAUCUAGUGAACUCCAGCAGCAAUUGAAAACAACACUACGCUUGAGGGACAACUUCGUAUCUUCAUCUUGGGGUUACCCUUUGAAAUAUGGCUAUGAAAGAUGUUAUCGCAUAGUUGCAUUUGAAUGAAUAUCAGAAAGAUGCACACCACCAAAACUAACUGUGGGACCAUCUGUUUUGAAGCUUAAAGGCGCACUUCAUCGCAUGAAUAUUGGUGAACAUCAUUGAUGUUGCUAAUGCAUUUCUUUUCACAAUCAGAUUCGACAAGAUGAGAUAAUUCCAUGGAGAAGAACAUUGAGCUUACAACGAUGGGCCUUGUACUGCAAGCUAUGAGAUGCAUGUCUGGACGACAAGAUAGUUUCCAAGAAGACUAAUGAUAAUAUAUACUUGAAGAGUAUUGUUUCAGCUUGAGGCAAGUUUAUGACUGAUUGACAAUCUUGAUGAGUGUUGGCACUAUGCGCACAAUCAAUAAGAGAACAAUUCUCAAGAUAAUCCAGAAGAUGAAUGAUCGGUUAAGCUCAUUCAUGAUGAAUCAAGCAACACCAUAAUUGGGGGCACACUCAUGCUUCAUAAACAAUAAGAGGAGUAAUCAUCGUGGAUAGCCCAGGAUAGGCACGACACUUACAGCUCAGUGGAUGGCUAGCACAUGAAUAAGACGGUAAAUCAGAAGGACAAAGAAGGCUUUGGAAUACAAACAAAGGCACCUUAUGACGAUGGAGCAUCAAAGAAAGGGGACCUAUAUUCCAAAUUAGGUAAAAAAGCAUGCAUGUCAUCUAGCCUCAAAACAUUGCAUAAUUGUUUUUGAAUUGUUACAGGAAAAAUCCUCAAUGAGGUCCAGCAAGAUUGUGGAAAAAGAAAGAAGCAUUGUGUUGAUGAUAACAAAGAAUCAGUUUUGAUCAUGGAAAAAAAGAAGAUGAGAUGAACCCUACCAUUAGAAAAAUCUCAAAGAAAAGAAAAGAUCAACCCUGCAAUCAAGAAGCCCCGAGUUUUCAAAUCCUGCGAUCAAGAAUUAUCAGGAAGCACCAAGUUUUCCAGCCCUUCUCCUGUCAUCCCUUCAUGACUUUGCCAGGUAAGUCCUAUUUUUCACACUUGUCAGACCAUAAUCUUUCAUUUGGGUUGAUCACUUAUAAUAAUGAGACCACUUUAUAUAUUUUUUCAUCUUCCACCUAGGUAGGUCACCCUUUAGGAUGAGACCGUUUUUCAUAUUUUUCUACCUGAGUAGGUCACCCAUUACAAUGAGACCACACUUCACAUUUUUUUUCCAUCUAGGUAAGUCACCCAUUAUAAUGAGACCACACUUCAAAUUUUUUUCAUCUUCCAUUUGGGUAGGUCACCCAUCAUAAUAAGACCGUUUUUCACAUUCUUUCAUCUGGGUAGAUCACCCAUUACAAUGAGACCACUUUUUACACAUUAUUUUUUUUAGUUAAAUGAGGUCACCAGAUGGGAUCUCAGGUAGCUUUGGUGAAAGGGAAUCGCCAGAUGGGAUUUCAGGUUGAUUGAGCUACAUAUGUUUUUGGGUUUGGUUAAACGAGGUCGCCAGAUAGGAUCUUAGGUUAACGGAAAAAAAAUGAGAGAGAAAAAAAACAGAGAGAGAAAGAAAGAAAGAAAAGAAAAAGGAAAAAGUAAAGUCUUUAGAUUAGUGGAUAUUGAGCGCAAGUUAAGAAGACAGGAAGACAAGUUUUCUUUACAAAGCUUACUAUGCAAAACAUUGAGGAGUUUUGCUUCGUAAGCAUUGUAAAGAGGUGGCAGCUGUUGCUACCUAAUUUUUUACCCAUGUUUUGAUAAAUUCUCAAAAAAAUCCAAACAUAGAGAAAAACAACGAAAAUCCAAAAAAUAUGUUUUUUUAAUAUAUUUUCAUCAUUUUUAGCAUUGUCUUAAAAGAAUUUAAAUUUCAGAAGAUCUUAGGAACGCGUUCGACUUUUAACGCGUUAUUUAUAAAAAAUCACCGAUUUUCCUCAUUCGAGGCAAUGUUGAUAAGAAAAAAUCAAAAUUUACAAAAACAAAAGUUGAGGGACCAAGUUUGGAAACCUAACAAUAUUUUUACCAAUAAAUACUAGUCUUCAACACACACAAAAGUGGGAGGGGGGGCAAUUUCGAAACAAAAAAAGAGAGACACAAUAAACCCUAAAAAACCUAUCUUUACCCACACUAGCCACCCCACCCAUUCAGUUGGCCACUCUCUUUUCUCCAACCAAAGCCACUGCCCCCCUUCUUCCUCUGGUCUCCCCUCCUAGACCCAUACAGACCCAGCCACAACCCCGUCCCUUCUCUGAUCUGCCUCCGACCAAAGACCAACCCCAAAACAGCUGUUAAUUCAACGUUACAAAGAGGCGUCCCCUUCUCCUUCCCACAUUACCUCUCAUCUUCAACCUUCAACAUCAAAGCCUUCCCCUCAGCACCGUCUUUUUCUCCUUCAGACCAUCCAUGUCGGCCUCCACCAAGCACCACAACACAGCCGAUCUCCUCCCUCACAGCCGCAACAUCAUUUCCUCUCCAUCCCAACCAUUUCCUUCUCUCACCCAAACAACCCGCAGACACACGGUCUUCACCGUCAGCUGUAUCAGCGUCUCCUCCAUCCAGCACCGGCCAGACUCGAUAGAAGCCUACUCGCUAGCGACCCCUUGAUCCUGCCGCCACCUGAAACAUAGAGGAUUGGGAAAGCAAAAGAAAAGAACAAAUCUGCAGAGAGGGAAGUAGACCCUAAACGGAGAAGAAGAGAAAGAAAAAUAGAUUGAAAACAAAGAAAAAAAUUAAAAUCAACUGCCUGUGGUGUUUUCGGUUGUUUUGCAGGUCACCGCCGGAGUAGGGAGACAGAGAAGAGGAAGACAUUUCCGAUCCACCAGUUUUAUUGCCUUUAUCGGCGGCGAUGGCGUGUGGAGCAACGCGCCGCCACUGUUCCAGCACUGUUCCUACGGUUCUAGAAGGCUUCCCAGCACUGUUAUGGAUUUUUUGGGGGGUCUAUUUUGUAAUUUUUAAAUUGUUUAAUGUAAUUUUUGCUUAGUUGUUGAAUUUUUAUAAUUUGUAGUGUGUAUGUCUGUAAAAAAAAAAAACAUAUAGUAAAAGUGAAGGUGUGUGUUUGUAUACGUUUUAUGGAUGUUUUAUUUAUUCAUUUUAUUUUAUUUUAUGAUAAAAUUGCAAAAGCAAAAGAAGAAUUUAAUAUUUUGAUUUGCUCUCAAUAAAGCAUUACAAACUUAUACGUAAGUCGUAUUUCUAAUAUUCGAUGAAAAGACAAAAUUUUUAAAACUUCUUUAACACAUCAAGGCCACGAAGCAGCUUACCUCAGGUAAGGUGCGUUAGGGAUGCUAAUACCUUCCCUAACCACAACCAGUCUCUUACCCGUGAAUCUCUAACAAGACCAGCACACCCGGAUUUCCUAUUAGCCCUCAAUUAAAUACUUGGUGGCAACUCCCAAGAACCAAUCAAGCAAACAAAACAUAACGAAAAAUCACCAACGGACGCCGCGCAGGUGACGUGCGACAGGACGCAAACUUGACUUGAAGAUACUUAAAUAUAAUUUCAUGUCAUCAAGUCCUUAUAGGAUUUAAUUUGGCAUCACAAAAAUAAUUUUUCAUUGCUGAAUUUAUUAUCCAAAAAAUAAUUUCAUUUCUGAAAUUAAUACAUAGUAAAAAACACCUCAUGAAAUUUUUUAUUAUUAUAUAUUUUGGUAUUAUCACUCAAAAUCCUUUUAAAUGGAUAGCAUAAACUUGGUCAAAUGAUUUCUCAAACUUUGAUUACACUAAAAGUCUAUUGUCCUUUUUUAACCCAGUGGUAAACUUAUUUUACACACACAUGGAUCUUGUAAUAAAUGUUUUUUCUUCCAAAAACAGGUUAUAGCCAUUUUUAAUAAAAUUGAAAAACACUUUGAAAGUUCAAAACAUCUAACUCCAUUUUUAUUAGUAUGUGUAAUGACCAUGUGUUGAUUUUUCACAUAUAAUUACCACUUUUUCACUUUAUAUGAACAACCUUACAAAACUUAUGCUUUCUAACUAUCUAAUCUAAAAGCAUUUAUUAUUUUUGUAAUCUUCUCAAAAUUUUAAACUCUAUUUGCAUCAAUCUUCUCUUUCAUAUUCUUGAGUUGUAUUAUAUUUCAUAAAGAAUUGAGUUUAAUCUAUUCUGACAUCACUACUAGAAAUUCGCUAAAUACCAACGGACUCACCGACGGAAUUUUUUCUGUUGGUAUUUUUCGGUCGAACUCACCGACGGACUAUUUUCGUCAGUAAUUCGGUCGGUAAUUACCGACAAAAAAUUCAGAAUUAAUGAAAAAAGGGCGGGUAGGUGGUGCGGAGGUGUUGGCGUGUGAUUUUUCUGACGGAAUCACCGACGGAAUGAAAACUGGGGAGCCGUACGCGUGAUGGGACCUGUUCACCGUCAAUAAUACCGACGGAAUGACCGACGGAUGUGAAAUGCCAGAUUCGUACCGGUGACGUGACCGGUGCACCAUUAAAAAUACCGACAGAAUCACCGAGGGAUUUGAAUAGCAGGUCCGUACGGUGACGUGUCGAUUGCCCGUCAGAAUUACCGACGGUUUCACCGACGGAAUAAAACCGUCGGCAAAAGUGAAUAUAUGGCCACUCUGCCGACACUCUCCUCCCCCAUUUCUCCUUCUUCUUCCUAAUCCUAACCCUCCCCAUCUGCAAAUAACCAGCCCCCCCUCGCCCCAAAACAAAAAUCUUCCUCAUCUCAGCACAACAAGUUGUAUUUCUUGAAGUUUUGUGGUCACAGCAUCCGUGUUCUGAUUUACCGACGGAUUUUAUCAUUUUUUGUAAGUAAUUCUAUCUUUUAAAAUUUUAACAUUUAAAUGUCAAUUUUAUUGUUUUUUUAGUAUAUGUAUUUUUUUUUAGUAGAUGUACAUGUUUUAUUGUUAUUUCUCAAACAAACUUGUAGUAUAUGAAUGUAUAAUUUUAUACUUGUUAUGGUUUGUUUUAGAUUUUGUAAGAUUGUAUUUGUUUGUAAAUUGUUAAAACUUAAUUUGUAGAAUUACCGAAUUACAUGUUAUGUUUUGAAAUAAUUAAGAGCUUGCUUAAUGGGUCCUUUUUAUAGAGGUUCGAUAGAAGUCAUGGAUGAUCGUUCAUGGAUGUAUCUAGAUUCACCCCAAGGAUUGCGGAGGAUGGAUUAUUGUAACGGGGUUCAGGGUUUUAUUAAUUUCGCAACAUCUAUUCCCAAAAAUUUUACUGGAGGCGGUAUUAGGUGUCCAUGCAGGAAGUGUCAAAAUAAAAAGUAUCUGCAUCCAGAUGUUGUAAUGAUGCAUCUUCUACACAAAGAGUUUGUGGAGGAUUACGAGUGUUGGUAUGCACAUGGAGAGGUAUUUGUUAGUAAUAGGAGAAUAGGAGAAUAGGAGAAACGGUGGUUGGGUCAACUUCUAGUGCUAGCAACAUGCAUGAAGCGACAAAUGACAACACUAAUCCUUACAGAAAUAUGGUUAUGGAUGCAAUGAGAAUGAAUCAUGAUAAUGUCAAUCAAUGUCCAAUCGUAGAAAAAGAACCUAAUGCAGAGGCAUCUAGGUUUUUUGAUUUGUUGAAAGAUUUUGACGAACCACUAUGGGAUGGCUGCACAAACCACAGUAAAUUAUCGGCCGUGGCACAGGUGUUCACCAUCAAGUCAGAUCACGGGUUGAGUGAGGUAUGGUAUACAAAAUUAUUGAUUGGGCAAGAAGCAUUUACCUGAAGGAACAGGCUCAAAGAGAACUUCUAUGCUGCGAAGUCCAUGAUGAAACCCCUCGGUUUAGGAUAUAAAAAUUGACAUGUGCCCUAACUUCUGCAUGUUAUACUACCUUGAAAAUGCUGAGAUGACCGAGUGCAUGACAUGCGGGCAUUCCCGUUACAAACCCAGAACUGGCAGGGGAAGACUCUAGUGGCAUAUAAAAAACUUAGAUAUUUCCCGAUCACACCUAGACUGCAGAGGUUAUUUAUGUCACCAAGGACUGCUGAGCACAUGACAUGGCACCAAACACACGAUGUCGUUGAUGGUGUGAUGGUGCAUCCUUCUGACGGCGAAGCGUGGAAACGUUUAACAGUUCAUCCUGACUUUUCUGCUGAAUCAAGGAAUGUUCGACUUGGGUUGUGUACAGACGGGUUCAACCCAUUUGGGUCAUUUGCUGCUCCCUAUUCUUGUUGGCCGGUCAUUCUCACAGUUUAUAACUUGCCACCGGGAAUGUGUAUGAGGCCGGAGUUCAUGUUUCUAUCUACUGUCAUACCCGGUCCAAGCAGCCCGGGGCGGAAUAUAGAUGUUUGUCUUCGACCGUUGAUAGAUGAGCUGGUGCAGUUGUGGUCCUCCGGAUCUCUGACUUAUGAUAUAUCGAGGAAACAAAAUUUCCUUAUGAGGGCGGCUUUGAUGUGGACUAUCAGUGAUUUUCCAGCUUAUGGAAUGCUUUCUGGUUGGAGCACGCAUGGGAAACUCGCAUGUCCAUACUGCAUGGAAAACAACAAGGCAUUCACGCUAGCAAACGGAGGUAAAGCUUCUUUUUUUGACUGUCACCGUCGCUUCUUGCCACUUAAUCACAGGUUCAGAAAGAACAGAAAAGAUUUCUUUGUUGGUAGAGUUGAAAAAGAUGUUGCAUCCCCGCGUCUUUCUGGUGAAGAAUUGCAUCAUGUUGUAUCAGAGUACGGUGACAUUGUGUUUGGCCUUCAAUCAGGUAAGCAAAAGUUUCCUGGUUUUGGUUUGACCCAUAAUUGGGUAAAGCGAAGUAUCUUUUGGGAGCUUCCGUAUUGGAAGACUAAUCUUCUCCGCCAUAACCUUGACGUCAUGCACAUCGAAAAGAACGUGUUUGAGAAUAUUUUCAACACCGUCAUGGAUGUGAAGGGGAAGACAAAGGACAACAUGAAGGCUAGAUUGGAUAUAGCUUUAUACUGUAACCGUAAAAAUAUGGAGUUGGUUUAUGACGAGUCACGGGUUGCAAAACCAAGGGCAAGCUUCGUGUUAGAGAAAAACGCACAACUGCUAGUCUACAAAUGGCUUAAGAGUCUGCGUUUCCCGGAUGGACAUGCAUCGAACAUAUCAAGGCUUGUUAACAUAGAGGACUGCAGAUGAAUGAAGAGUCAUGACUGCCACGUGUUUAUGCAAACACUCAUCCCAUUAGCUUUUCGUGAUUUGUUGCCAAAGGGAAUAUGGGAUGCACUAACGGAGAUCAGUCAUUUCUUCAGAGAUAUAUGCUCCAGCAAGAUGAAUGUUGAGCACAUUGAGAUGCUUCAAACGAAUAUCAUCGAGACACUAUGCAAACUUGAGAUGAUAUUCCCUCCUUCAUUUUUUGACUCAAUGGAGCAUCUCCCUAUACAUCUACCGUUCGAGGCAAAAGCUGGAGGACCGGUCCAGUAUAGAUGGAUGUACCCAUUCGAACGGUGAGAUAUUACAGUUGCAAUGGAAUUCAUAUCUUAAAGUAUUUUCUAUGUUUUUCUUAUUGAAAAUACUUGAAUUGUACUUCAAUGCAGGUACUUGUUUAAUCUAAAAAAAAAGGUUAAGAACAAGGCGCAUGUUGAGGCUUCGAUAUCUGAGGCCUAUAUUGUUGAAGAGAUAUCAACAUUUAUCUCGUACUAUUUCGAACCUCAUCUGAGAACAAGAAUCAAUCGCGUUCCACGGCAUGACGAUGGCGGUGAAGUGCCUUCCAGUGGGAACUUGUCAAUAUUCUCCAAUACUGGACGACCCACACCUAAAAAUGCCGUAAGAGGAAGAUAUUUGUCGGAAAUAGAAUUCAAACAAGCACACAACUAUGUUCUAUUUAACUGUGAUGAGCUGAGACCAUUUAUUCAGUAAGUCUAUAUAUGUGUAAUACUAAUUAAACUUUGUCAGUAAUAUACUGUUAAUUAUAUAUUGUAAUAUCAUACACUCAUUAUCACUUGCAGGCAACAUCGACAAUAUUUGCUCUCCAAUAACUCGCAGCUGACCGAAUCCCAGAUCUUUCAAUUACAAGAUGAACAAUUUGCCACAUGGUUCAGAACACAUGUAAGCACUAUCACAAACUCAUUCUAACGUAUGCAUGUCAUUACGAGAUUCUCGUUCAUUUACCGUUAUUGAUGUACAUUUAAUUACAUAUAUUUACAAGGUUUAUCAAAUGGGAAGGAGUGCCCAAGUCAUUGUCUUCACUAAGCCUCGGCCCUGAAAGAAAAGUUAAGUGCUACAACGGGUAUUUUGUCAAUGGAUAUGUUUUCCAUACUGAAGAAUACGGGCAAGGAAGAAAGACAUACAACUGCGGUGUUUGUGUUAAGGGAUCCACAAGUAGCCAGUUAGAAGUUGACUACUAUGGUAGAUUAGAAGAGGUCGUCGAACUGCAAUAUCAUAGCGAGCAGAAUAAAGUGUUUUUAUUCAAAUGCUAUUGGUAUGACACGACGGACAGAGGAAUCAGAGUUGAUCCGCACCAUGGUCUGGUCGAAAUCAACUCAAAAGCUAGACUCCGCAACAUAAACGAUGUCUUUGUUUUCGCAAAGCAAUGUCAACAAGUUUAUUACACAUACACCCCUUCAUUUAGAAAGGAUUCAAGAGUUGAUUGGUUGUCCGUUUUAAAAACGAAACCACGGGGUCGUGUCGAGGUUGUUCAGGAUGAGAACGAAGACACAAGUGUGCGAGAUGAAGUCUUUCAAGUUCGUGAGUUGGUUGAACCAUAUCGAGUUGCUCCUUCGAUUGAAUUGGAAGAAAAUUCAAAUUUUCGAGUUCUCGAUGAUAGUCUUGUUGAUAUUGACGGAGAGGAGUUGAAUGUUGUUCUCAGCUCUAGCGGACAAGCAAAUGUCGAUGAAGAAGAUGAUAUCCAUAUUGAAGAUUGCAAUGAAGAUGAUGACAAUUCAAUUGAUGAGGAAGAAGAAAAUUCCGACUAAUUAUGAAAAUGAAGCCCUAUGUAAAAACAUUUGUCUCAUGUAAUUUAGAUUAUGGAUGAUGUAUUUUGUAAAACAAAAUAUUUACUGUUUAAGCAAUGUGGUUAUUGUUUUAUGUGAUGGACAGUUUAUCAGUUAAGUUUUUGCAGGAAGGUAAACAGGCAAUACAAAGACAACCUUUCCUGCAUAAUGCAAACUUACCGAUGUCCAUACCGACGGAUAACCAUCCGUCGGUAUCUCACAAAGAGUUCGAAAUUAAUUACGCGAAAUGCCACCAACACCGACGACAUUACCGACGAUUCACCGACACAUACACCGACGGAUUCUAGUCCGUCGGUAUCUCACAGAGAGUUCGAAAAUAAUUACAACAAAAUGCCACCUUCACCGACGGGUAUACCGACGGAUUCUAGUCCGUCGGCAUCUCACAGAGAGUUCGAAAACAUUUACAACAAAAUUCCACAAUCAUCGACGGGCAUACCGACGGAUUCUAGUCCGUCGGUAUCUCACAGAGAGUUCGAAUAUAUUUACAACAAAAUGCCACAAUCACCAACGGAUUCACCGACAGAUGUUUCGACGCUAAUAUCGACGGAAUAUUUAUGUCGGUAAUUUGUCGGUCACACAUAUUACCGACAGAAAUACCGACGGACCGUGCGAUUUCCAAAGUGUGUGAAUUAAAGCGCCUCUGAACUUGUCAUAUUACCGACGGAAUCACCGACGGACGUCGAAAAAUAUGGAGGGCUUUUAAAAAUUCGGUGCGAAAUUCAAAAAUUACCGACGGAUUUUUGACCUGUUACCGACGGAAUUUUUGACCUGUUACCGACGGAUAUUAAGUCCGUCGGUGAUUCCGUCAAUAAAACUGCCAUAUAAGUUCUAGCCCCCGCCGCUUCGCCUCAUUUUUUCUUCUUCUCCCCGCGCCGCUUCUCUUCUCUUCUCCUCCGUUUUGCACCUCAGAUUUUUUAUUUUUUUGCCUUCAAUCUCUAGCAAGAUUUAGUGUUGUGAAUCUUCCUCAUAUUAAAAGGUAUGUGUUUUUUUCCAAUUUAUUUUAUUUACUUUUAAUUUAUUUUUAGUUGUUUUUAUUUUUGUUAUUUUGUUGUUUUGGUGUUUUUUUUUAUAAUGUAGAUAAAGUUUUGAAUUUGUCACAUUAUUAAGGUAUGUAUAUUUCUUUCCUUUUCUUGAUGUAGGUUUUUUUUUUGAAUGUUUUGAAUAUUUUUUAUUGUUUUGUUGUUAUAAUAACAUAUUAGUUAAUUUGUUGAAUAUUUGUUGUUAAAGUUGAAUUUAACUUAGAAUUAGUAAUUGAAUAUGUUAGAAUAAUUAUUAAUUUUACUUUAUUAUUGCAUGAUUUGUGUUUAAUUAUUUUCAUUGAUUUUAAUUGUUAGUCUAUAUAUAUUUUUGAAUUUAUUGAAUAUAAUUUAUUGUUGUAUUGCCAUAUAUAAUUAUUGAUUAAUUUGUUGAAUUAUAAUUGUUAAUGUUGAAUUUACCUUAGAAUUAAUAAUUGGAUAUGUUGGAAUAAUUAGUAUUUUUUUAUAUAUUAUUGCAUGAUUUGUGUUUAAUUGUUUCCAUUGAUUUUAAUUGUUAGGCUAUAAUUCUUUUUUAUUUUAUUGAAUAUAUUUUAUUGUUGUAUUGCCAUAAUUAUUUAAUAAUUUGUUGAAUUAAUAUUGUUAAUGUUGAAUUUAUCUUAGAUUUAAUAAUUGAAUAUGUUGGAAGAAUUAUUAAUUUUACUCUAACUUGAUGAUUUGUGUUUAAUUGUUUCUAUUUAUUUUGAAUUUAUAGUUUUGUUGUAUUGACAUAAUUAUUGAAUAAUUUGUGAAUUGUAAUUGUUAACGUUGAAUUUAUCUUAGGAUUAAUAGUUGAAUAUGUUGGAAUAAUUAGUAUAGAUUGGGUCAAUUGGUUGUGGCUAUUAUUAAUAUUUGCAGGUUUAUGGAUUUGGGUAGUAUCCAGUAUAGGGGAGGUGCUGCCGAUUUUUUUUAACUUUUGAAUUUUAUUAUACAAUUAUUUAUAUAAAAUUGUUUAGAUGUGCAGAAUGAAAUCCAGAGCUAGUCGUUCACGUCCAGUCGAAUCAAGUUCGUCUAGCAGCGAUGUUGAUGUUUCCUUAGGUGCCUCUCAAGAAGAGGCACCUACACCACCUGCGCCGUCAACCGAUGCUGCCUCUUCCAGUGAUGUUUCACAUCGCAGAAGCGGCAUGCCUUCGCAGCGGAAUCAAUUUACCCGCAAGUACGAGGCACAUUGGAAGGACGAUCUUUCAAUGUAAGUUUGUUAAGGUUUCAGUUUUUUUAUAUAUAUAUAAAAAAAAACAAAUUUAAAACAUAAUUUAUGAAGUAAUCACUAUUUCAUUAAUUUCAUUUCUUUUCAGGUUCACAAACAUUGAGGCUGCCCGAGUAAUAUCAUCGGCGUUUAAAGCGUCGAUGGAGAUUCCAUUGUUUCAAUGGAGUCAGAUAUCCAGGAAUCCUGAAUGGAUGCCUCAAAUCAAUGCAUGGUUUCGUAGAUUUGAGGUUCGUAUUAAUAUAUAAUUUUCAGCUUAUUUCUAAUAAAUUCUAGUUAUAAUUGUAAAUAAAUUAUUAACAUUUUAAAGAAUUAUUUUUUUAUACACAGCAUCGAUUCAGCCGGGACGAUGAACAUGACACUGUUGUGAGGAGGGUGUGGGAAAAUCACGCGGCAAUUAGGUAACAUCGAAAACAAUAUGACUUUUUUUUUACAUAAUUAUUUAUGUUUCGAAAUGUAAUUUUUUCGUGCAUGAAUUAGGUUGUGUGAUUUUUGGUAUGAAAUAUAGAAAAAGGCAAAAAAAACAGCGAGGGAUAAGGGGUUCCAAGGCUGGAACGAUGUUGCGGUUUGGAGGGAUUUCAAACCGAUAUACAUCCCGGAAGAUAUAUGGCCGCACUAUCUUCAGCACGUGACGUCUGAGCGGUUCACUCGACGCUCACAGUUCGGUGCUGGCAACUGGAAUCGGCCAAUUCAUAGCUCGGUGACAACGCACACCGGCGGCUCCGUUCUGUUUGCUGCACAUGCGAAACGGAUGGUAAGAUUAAUUUAAAUGAAAUAUAUCGUUCAAUUAAUUUGUUGUUAAUAAAUUUUUUUCAUUAUAGGCUACGUCUCUUGGACGUGAGCCGAGCCCUAUGGAGCUGCUUGUGGAGACGCACGUGCGGAGUCAUUACCGCCAAAAGGGGACGCAACAGUUCGUUGACAAUCGUGCUCAACAGUUUGUGGUAUGUUUGUUCAACCAUUUUAUUUUGUAAGUUAUUAUUAUUUUUAUUGAAUUGAAUAUGAUGAUUAUUAUUUUUUUCAAGAGACCUAAUAAUCGGUUGAGGGAGAGAUACGGGGACGAUUCUUCGACCCAUUCGGAAUUCGAUCCGGAUUUGUGGAUGGAGGCUGGAUCGUCAGGUGGACCCGAUAAAAAUCGGGUUUACGGGCUCUCCAACACUACCGCCGCCAACUUGCGGUCGACCGGUACUGCUUCAACCGUUGGGAGCCCCCAAUCUAAGGAGUUCGUGGCCUUGCAGCAAAGGUGCGACCACCUAUCAGAGGCGUACACACAACUCAAAGAAGAGCAAAGAUUGGCGAACGAACAACACAGAGCAAAGUCUGAACAACAAAGAGCGGCCUAUGAAGAGCUUCGUCAAAUGGUCAUGAACAUGACACAAGGUGGAACAUGUGCGCCUAAUCCUUUUUGGCCGCCUAACCCCCAGCCUCCUCCACCUCUAUAUUAAUUUUUAAUAAACAUUAUUUACAUUUAAAAUUUCGUUUAAUGUUUUUUUGAAACACAUUCAUUUUGUAAUGAAUAUUAUUUAACUUUGAGUUUUUGUUGCUUAAUAUAAAUUUUAUUUGCAUAAUUGGUUUGUAUUACCAUUAAUUUAUAUUAUUAUUUUUAAAUAAUUAAAAAAAAAUUAAAAAAAAUUACAUAGGGAUUUACCGACGGAAUAACUCCGUCGGCAUUGGACAGUGUCUACCACCAUCACCGACGAAUAUUCAGACGGACAGAUUCGGUCGGUAUUCCAUCCCAUCACCGACGGAAAUAAUCCGUCAGUAUAAAUUUACCGACGAAUUUACAGACAGAAAUAUUCGGUCGGUAUGAAAUAUCACCGACACUUUUACCGACGGAUUUAUUCCGUCAGUAUUUACAUAACACCGACGGAAAAUUUUCCGUCGGUAUAUUUCAAGCGGGAAACUUUUUUUUUUUGGCCCGCACGGUCCGUCGGUAAAUGUUUUUUUUGUAUUUCCGACCGAUAUAGCGACGGAAUGUGGAAUCACCGACAAAAGUUAUUCCGACGGGCAUAUUCCGUCGGUAAUAUAGUCGGUAAAUAAUUUACCGACGAACUUGCUGUCACACACCGACGGAAUAUUUCAGUCGUUAAAACUGUGAAAUCUUGUAGUGCAUUGUCUUUAUUAAUUAUAAAGUGUGAAAAACCCUUGUGAUAGAAAAUCUAUUAUAAAAGUGUAAAGAGUACUUGAACCAUUUAGAAAAAUAUUUGGUUGUGAGUCAUUAGAAAGUUAAGAUCUUGAUAUUUAAAAAAGAUUGGGAGUGAAAGGGUUUUUAAGCUUGAUAAUGUGAAAAGAUUAAUAUAUUAGUAAGAUAAUGAAUACUUGAACAGUGGUUUAAGAAAUAAAGUUGGUGAUUACCUGAGCUACUAAAAAUUUAGUAUCUGUCUCUUCAUCUUUAUCUAAUUUUAUUUUUGUCUUUCAUAUAUGAUAUUUAUUGCCAAAUUCUUAAGUUACAAGGAUUGAUUUUUAAAGCAUCCAAUCUUCAAUGAAGACUUAAUAAUUCACAUCAUUCUUAGAUGUUAUUUUAGACUUUUAAUACUGAACAUUAAAAAACAAUUCACUUUCUCAAAAUUUACAUUUCUAAAAUUUACUUUCUAAAAAAUACUAUUUUGCAGCAAAUAAACUGCGCUAAAAUAUAACUGGACCAAGUGAUUUUUCUUGUUCUUAAAUCAGUAUCUCGUUUUAGUUUUUGAAGUUAAUUUCUUGUCAACAGCACCUCUUACAGCCAUCACUUUCCUUCAACAGUCCUUUAUAAGGAGGCCAACACUCUUCUCCCAUCUCAGUGUAGAUCCAGUUCUUGAGCCAAAUUCAGUUUGAGCACAAACCUCGACAAAAUUACUAAUGGCGUCUAAAUCCUUUGAACAGAUAGUGAUGCUCCCGUUUAUGGCUCAUGGCCAUCUCAUACCUUUUCUUGCUCUUGCAAGACAAAUCCAUCAAGCAACUGGUUUCAAAAUAUCCAUUGCAAGCACCCCUCUUAACAUCCAGUACCUUUCUUCCACCUUCAACUCCUCAUCCGAUGAACCAGAAAAUGACCAUAUCCACCUCCUUGAGCUACCUUUUUGCAGUACUGAUAAUGACUUGCCUCCAAACACUGAAAACUCCGAGAACUUGUCUCUGGAUUCGAGUGGCAAACUUUUCUCUGCAUCACUAAGUCUUAGGAAACCAUUUCACAACCUUGUAUCUGACAUUGCAGCUAAACAAGGUCACCCCCCACUUUGUAUAAUAUCAGAUGUUUUCCUUGGAUGGGCAGCUGAAGUUGCGAGCAGUCUGGGGACUGUGAAUGUCAGUUUCUCUACAGGUGGUGCUUAUGGAACCUUGGCUUCCUCAUCUCUUUGGCUCAAUCUUCCUCAUCGAGGUAGAAGUGAUUCCGAUGAGUUUCAUUUGCCGGGAUUUCCUGAUAGCUGUCGCUUUCACGUCAAUCAGUUGAAUCAUUUCAUAAGAAAUGCUGACGGCACUGAUUCUUGGUCUAAGUUUUUUCAGUCACAGAUCUCACUCUCAAUGCAAUCUUUUGGGUGGUUGUGCAAUACAGCUGAGGAAUUUGAGCCUGCAGGAUUGGAAUGGUUGAGGAACUUUCUCAAACUUCCUGUCUGGGCUAUAGGGCCUCUUCUGCCACCAAUGGUGCUCAACAAUGAUGAUUCUUCUUUAUCUGUAGCUGCAUCAGGUAUAAGCACAAGACGUGCUGGUAAAAAACUAGAGAUUUCUAUUGAGAAAUGCAUGGAAUGGCUUGAAUCGCACAGUCCAGCUUCGGUGCUCUAUAUUUCUUUUGGUUCUCAAAACACCAUAAGUCCCUCCCAGAUGAUGGAGUUAGCUAUUGGGUUGGAAGAGAGUGCGAAACCUUUCGUCUGGGUCAUCAGGCCUCCUGUUGGUUUCGAACCAACAAGUGAAUUUAGAGCAGAAUACCUACCAGAAGGAUUUGAAGAAAGAAUGGAGAAAAGAAAACAAGGUUUGUUGGUGAGGAACUGGGCGCCCCAAUUGGAGAUUUUGUCACACAAGUCCACCGGAGCGUUCCUAAGCCACUGUGGGUGGAAUUCAGUGUUGGAAAGCUUGAGCCAAGCAGUGCCAAUUAUAGGAUGGCCUUUGGCCGCUGAACAGGCCUACAAUUCCAAAAUGCUGGUGGAGGAGAUGGGUGUGAGUGUGGAGUUGACAAGGGGAGUGCAGAGGAGCAUAGAUUCGAAGGAGGUGAAGAGAGUGAUAGAGCUGGUGAUGGACAGGAAAGGGAAGGGAGGUGAUAUGAGGAGCAAGGCAAUGGUGAUUAAAGAACAGUUGAGGGCAUCAGUGAGAGAUGAAGGAGAAGACAAAGGAUCUUCUGUUAAAGCUCUGGAUGAUCUUAUCAAGACCCUUCAAUCAAAAUGGCAGAUGAUUGAUAGUAUCAGUUAAUCGCAUGAUUGAUCCUUUUUAAUGAGGAUUAAACCUUCUUGGUUGUUGUUAUUGCUUGCUUCAGUUUUACUAUGUUCUUUAUUCCCUCUGUACCAAGUAUUGGAGCAUUACGUACAUCGUAAGGAUUUCAAUCAAAUUAUUUCAAGAUUAUAAAUUUAUGGAAUAGACAGCAUUUGUCAUCCCGGCAUGGUAAACGAGAAAGCAACUGCUACUGCUACUGCAGGCAGAGAUGCUUUCUUCAACCGACAACUGGAUUCGGCUUCAUCCGCCGACACUGACCCCAAGUCCUUUCGUUUUAGCAUUUUUACAACCAGACAUGCAAAAACAUAUCUUGUAAACACAUGGAAAAAAAAAAACACGUGAAGAAAAAAAAAAAGGCAGAACAUGAAGACUUAUUAAGAACAAUGAACAAAAAAACCUUGCUCUUGAAGCUAUUGUUUCAAAUGGAGGAAGAUAGUCAUUUUUUCUCAUCUCUCUCUUACACACAAAGAGAUUAUGUUCAAAACCUAAUUUCAUGAUCCGGUAGUGCACAAAUCUUGUAACUUAACAAAUGCUAGAAACCAUAAGACCAAUAACAUGCACUUCUUCGAUGAGGUUUACUCCCUCUGUAGUCUCAGGUUUAAGUCAUGUGGUUGCUUAUAUGAUGGCAACUAGAGGCUUGUAUGGUCUGUGGGAUUAGUCAAGGUACGCGCAGACUAGUCCGAACAACCAUAUUAAUAAUAAAAAUAUAUAGCAUGCACUUCUUUUAUGGUCUGGGAUUAGUCAAGGUACGCGCAGACUAGGUUGACCGAGCUGCACACAUUCUUUGGUUUUGGUUUAAUGAGGUCGCCAGAUGGGAUCUCAGGUAGCUUUGGUUAAAGGGAAUCGCCAGAUAGGAUUUCAGGUUGACCGAGCCCACAUAUUUUUUGGUUUUAGUUAAAUGAAGUCGCCAAAUGGGAUCUCAGGUAGCUUUGCUUAAAGGGAAUCGCUAGAUAGGAUUUCAGGUUUACCGAGCUACACAUAUAUUUUUUUGUUCUAGUUGAAUGAGGUCAGAUGAGAUCUCGGGUAGCUUUGGUUAAAGGAAUCGCCAGAUGAGAUUUUAGGUUGACCGAGUUGCACACAUUCUUUGGUUUGGUUUAAUGAGGUCACCAGAUAAGAUCUCAUGUAGCUUUGGUUAAAGGGAAUCGCCAAAUGGGAUUUCAGGUUGACCGAACUCCACAUAUUAUUUGGUUUUGGUUUCAUGAGGUCGCCAGAUGGGAUCUCUGGUAGCUUUGGUUAAAGGGAAUCGCCAGAUGGGAUUUCAGGUUGACUAAGUUACACACAUUUCUUUGGUUCUAGUUAUAAAAGAGGUCGCCAGAUGGGAUUUCAGUUAGCUUUGAUAAAGGGAAUCGCCAUGGGAUUUUAGGUUGAUCGAGUUACACAUUGUUUUGGGUUUGGUUAAACGAGGUCGCUAAAUGGGAUCUUAGGUUAAUGGAAAAAAAAUGAGAGAGAAAAAAACAGAGAGAGAAAGAGAGAAAGAAAGAAAGAAAGAAAAAGAAAAAGAAAAAAGUAAAGUCUUAGAUUAGUGGAUAUUGAGCGCAAGUUAAGAAGACAGAAGAAGUUUUCUUUACAAAGCUUACUAUGCAAAACAUUGAGGAGUUUUGCUUCGUAAGCAUUGUAAAGAGGUGGCAGCUGUUGCUACCUAAAUUUUUUACCCAUGUUUUGAUAAAUUCUCAAAAAAAUCCAAAAUAGAGAAAAAACAACGAAAAUCCAAAAAAUAUUUUUUUUAAUAUAUUUUCAUCAUUUUUAGCAUUUUUAAAAGAAUUUAAAUUUCAAAAGAUCUUGGGAACGCGUUCGACUUUUAACGCGUUAUUUAUAAAAAAUCACCGAUUUUCCUCAUUCGAGGCAAUGUUGAUAAGAAAAAAUCAAAAUUUACAAAAAAAAAGUUGAGGGACCAAGUUUGGAAACCUAACAAUAUUUUUACCUAUAAAUACUGGUCUUCAACACACACAAAAGUGGGAGGGGGGGCAAUUUCGAAACAAAAAAAGAGAGACACAAUAAACCCUAAAAAACCUAUCUUUACCCACACUAGCCACCCCACCCAUUCAGUUGGCCACUCUCUUUUCUCCAACCAAAGCCACUGCCCCCCUUCUUCCUCUGGUCUCCCCUCCUAGACCCAUACAGACCCAGCCACAACCCGUCCCUUCUCUGAUCUGCCCCGACCAAGACCAACCCCAAAACAGCUGUUAAUUCACUUACAAAGAGGCGUCCCCUUUCCCCACAUUACCUCUCAUCUUCAACCUUCACAUCAAAGCCUUCCCCUCAGCACCGUCUUCUUCUCCUUCAGACCAUCAAUGUCGGCCUCCACCAAGCACCACAACACAGUCGAGCUCCUCCCUCACAGCCGCAACAUCAUUUCCUCUCCAUCCCACCGUUUCCUUCUCUCACCCAAACAACCCACAAACACACGGUCUUCACCGUCAGCUGUAUCAGCGUCUCCUCCAUCCAGCACCGGCCAGACUCGAUAGAAGCCUACUCGUCAGCGACCCCUUGGUCCUGCCGCCACCUGAAACAUAGAGGAUUGGGAAAGCAAAAGAAAAGAACAAAUCUGCAGAGAGGGAAGUAGACCCAAAACGGAGAAGAAGAGAAAGAAAAAUAGAUUGAAAACAAAGAAAAAAAUUAAAAUCAACUGCCUGUGGUGUUUUCGGUUGUUUUGCAGGUCACCACCGGAGUAGGGAGACAGAGAAGAGGAAGACGUUUCCGAUCCACCAGUUUUAUUGCCUUCAUCGGCGGCGAUGGCGUGUGGAGCAACGCGCCGCCACUGUUCCAGCACUGUUCCUGCGGUUCUAGAAGGCUUCCCAGCACUGUUAUGGAUUUUUUGGGGGUCUAUUUUGUAUGUAAUUUUUGUUUGUAAUUUUUGUUUAGUUGUUGAAUUUUUAUAAUUUGUAGUGUGUAUGUAUGUAAAAAAAAACAUAUAGUAAAAGUGAAGGUGUGUGUUUGUAUACGUUUUAUGGAUGUUUUAUUUAUUCAUUUUAUUUUAUUUUAUGAUAAAAUCGCAAAAGCAAAAGAAGAAUUUAAUAUUUUGAUUUGCUCACAAUAAAGCAUUACAAACUUAUAUGUAAGUCGUAUUUCUAAUAUUCGAUGAAAAGACAAAAUGUUUAAAACUUCUUUAACAUAUCAAGGCCACGAAGCAGCUUACCUCAGGUAAGGUGCGUUAGGGAUGUUAAUACCUUCCCUAACCACAACCAGUCUCUUACCCGUGAAUCUCUAACAAGACCAGCACACCCGGGUUUCCUAUUAGCCCUCAAUUAAAUACUUGGUGGCAACUCCCAAGAACCAAUCAAGCAAACAAAACAUAACGAAAAAUCACCAACGGACGCCGCGCAGGUGACGUGCGACAGGACGCAAACUUGACUUGAAGAUACUUAAAUAUAAUUUCAUGUCAUCAAGUCCUUAUAGGAUUUAAUUUGGCAUCACAAAAAUAAUUUUUCAUUGCUGAAUUUAUUAUCCAAAAAAUAAUUUCAUUUCUGAAAUUAAUACAUAGUAAAAAACACCUCAUGAAAUUUUUUAUUAUUAUAUAUUUUGGUAUUAUCACUCAAAAUCCUUUUAAAUGGAUAGCAUAAACUUGGUCAAAUGAUUUCUCAAACUUUGAUUACACUAAAAGUCUAUUGUCCUUUUUUAAUCCAGUGGUAAACUUAUUUUACACACAUGGAUCUUGUAAUAAAAAAAAUUUUUCCAAAAAGAGGUUAUAGCCAUUUUUAAUAAAAUUGAAAAACACUUUGAAAGUUCAAAACAUCUAACUCCAUUUUUAUUAGUAUGUGUAAUGGCCAUGUGUUGAUUUUUCACAUAUAAUUACCACUUUUUCACUUUAUAUGAACAACCUUACAAAACUUAUGCUUUCUAACUAUCUAAUCUAAAAGCAUUUAUUAUUUUCGUCAACUUCUCAAAUUUUUAAACUCUAUUUGCAUCAAUCUUCUCUUUCAUAUUCUUGAGUUGUAUUAUAUUUCAUAAAGACUUGAGUUUAAUCUAUUGUGACAUUGUCUUUUUUAAUUAUAAAGUGUGAAAAACCCUUGUGAUAGAAAAUCUAUUAUAAAAGUGUAAACAACACUUGAACCAUUUAGAAAAAUAUUUGGUUGUGAGUCAUUAGAAAGUUAAGAUCUUGAUAUUUAAAAAAGAUUGGGAGUGAAAGGGUUUUUAAGCUUGAUAAUGUGAAAAGAUUAAUAUAUUAGUAAGAUAAUGAAUACUUGAACAGUGGUUUAAGAAAUAAAGUUGGUGAUUACCUGAGCUACUAAAAAUUUAGUAUCUGUCUCUUCAUCUUUAUCUAAUUUUAUUUUUGUCUUUCAUAUAUGAUAUUUAUUGCCAAAUUCUUAAGAGUUACAAGGAUUGAUUUUUAAAGCAUCCAAUCUUCAAUGAAGACUUAAUAAUUCACAUCAUUCUUAGAUGUUAUUUUAAACUUUUACUACCGAACAUUAAAAAACAAUUUACUUUCUCAAAAUUUACAUUUCUAAAAUUUACUUUCUAAAAAAUACUAUUUUGCAGCAAAUAAACUGCGCUAAAAUAUAACUGGACCAAGUGAUUUUUCUUGUUCUUAAAUCAGUAUCUCGUUUUAGUUUUUGAAGUUAAUUUCUUGUCAACAGCACCUCUUACAGCCAUCACUUUCCUUCAACAGUCCUUUAUAAGGAGGCCAACACUCUUCUCCCAUCUCAGUGUAGAUCCAGUUCUUGAGCCAAAUUCAGUUUGAGCACAAACCUCGACAAAAUUACUAAUGGCGUCUAAAUCCUUUGAACAGAUAGUGAUGCUCCCGUUUAUGGCUCAUGGCCAUCUCAUACCUUUUCUUGCUCUUGCAAGACAAAUCCAUCAAGCAACUGGUUUCAAAAUAUCCAUUGCAAGCACCCCUCUUAACAUCCAGUACCUUUCUUCCACCUUCAACUCCUCAUCCGAUGAACCAGAAAAUGACCAUAUCCACCUCCUUGAGCUACCUUUUUGCAGUACUGAUAAUGACUUGCCUCCAAACACUGAAAACUCCGAGAACUUGUCUCUGGAUUCGAGUGGCAAACUUUUCUCUGCAUCACUAAGUCUUAGGAAACCAUUUCACAACCUUGUAUCUGACAUUGCAGCUAAACAAGGUCACCCCCCACUUUGUAUAAUAUCAGAUGUUUUCCUUGGAUGGGCAGCUGAAGUUGCGAGCAGUCUGGGGACUGUGAAUGUCAGUUUCUCUACAGGUGGUGCUUAUGGAACCUUGGCUUCCUCAUCUCUUUGGCUCAAUCUUCCUCAUCGAGGUAGAAGUGAUUCCGAUGAGUUUCAUUUGCCGGGAUUUCCUGAUAGCUGUCGCUUUCACGUCAAUCAGUUGAAUCAUUUCAUAAGAAAUGCUGACGGCACUGAUUCUUGGUCUAAGUUUUUUCAGUCACAGAUCUCACUCUCAAUGCAAUCUUUUGGGUGGUUGUGCAAUACAGCUGAGGAAUUUGAGCCUGCAGGAUUGGAAUGGUUGAGGAACUUUCUCAAACUUCCUGUCUGGGCUAUAGGGCCUCUUCUGCCACCAAUGGUGCUCAACAAUGAUGAUUCUUCUUUAUCUGUAGCUGCAUCAGGUAUAAGCACAAGACGUGCUGGUAAAAAACUAGAGAUUUCUAUUGAGAAAUGCAUGGAAUGGCUUGAAUCGCACAGUCCAGCUUCGGUGCUCUAUAUUUCUUUUGGUUCUCAAAACACCAUAAGUCCCUCCCAGAUGAUGGAGUUAGCUAUUGGGCUGGAAGAGAGUGCGAAACCUUUCGUCUGGGUCAUCAGGCCUCCUGUUGGUUUCGAACCAACAAGUGAAUUUAGAGCAGAAUACCUACCAGAUGGAUUUGAAGAAAGAAUGGAGAAAAGAAAACAAGGUUUGUUGGUGAGGAACUGGGCGCCCCAAUUGGAGAUUUUGUCACACAAGUCCACCGGAGCGUUCCUAAGCCACUGUGGGUGGAAUUCAGUGUUGGAAAGCUUGAGCCAAGCAGUGCCAAUUAUAGGAUGGCCUUUGGCCGCUGAACAGGCCUAUAAUUCCAAAAUGCUGGUGGAGGAGAUGGGUGUGAGUGUGGAGUUGACAAGGGGAGUGCAGAGGAGCAUAGAUUCGAAGGAGGUGAAGAGAGUGAUAGAGCUGGUGAUGGACAGGAAAGGGAAGGGAGGUGAUAUGAGGAGCAAGGCAAUGGUGAUUAAAGAACAGUUGAGGGCAUCAGUGAGAGAUGAAGGAGAAGACAAAGGAUCUUCUGUUAAAGCUCUGGAUGAUCUUAUCAAGACCCUUCAAUCAAAAGGGCAGACGAUUAAUAGUAUCAGUUAACCGCAUGAUUGAUCCUUUGUAAUGAGGAUUAAUUAAGAUGAUUAAUUAAGACGAUUAAUAGUAUCAGUUAACCGCAUGAUUCCCUCUGUUACCAAGUAUUGGAGCAAAUUGAUAAUAAUCAUAUGUUUUUUAUUCCCUCUGUUACCAAGUUGGAGCAAAUAUAAUUUCAAGCUGGCAUAUAUAAAAAAAUAAAAAAUAAAAUGUUGGAUUAUUUACAGGAUUAUAUUUGCUCAUUUUCUUCAUUUUGCUUCUUCUAAAAAUUAUAUUUUACGUCAUAAAGUUUAUAAUUUUACAACUCUUUACAUCCUUACAAUGACAUAAAAAAAAAUCAACAACAAAUUAAUAUUGAAUUAUUUAUAAAAGUGUUAUCAUAUUUCAUUUAAUGAUUAAAAAGCCUUGCAAUAUUAAUAUUAUAACUUUUCCAUUCAACUAAACAAAAACCAUAGACACCAUGGAUGAGUUCUUCUUCCUCCAUUUUCUUUUCAAUCUCCAGCAAGUUCACAUGAAAUAAUUGAAACCGUUAUUUUUAUUUUUUUCACUUUUCAAUCUCCAGCUAGCCUAAAAGGGAGAAAGCAUAGAUCACAAAAUCACUAGUUUUAGCCGAACACCACCAUAGAUCCAAGACAACGGCAUAAACCAUAGUUAUUAAAAUUAGACCGGGCCGGUAGGUCGGCUUGGAACCUGCUCGACCCGAUAGUUGGACUGGUCCAAGUAAGGCAAAAUACCGGGAUAAGCAAAAACCCGACAAAACAUAGUUGACCUGUCAGGUUGACCCGUGACCUAGGCGACUUGGCAAAACCUGGUUGAAAUCUAGUUUUUUUUUUCAAAUGUGUUUUUUUCCUAGCCAAAAUUCCCAUAUAUAUAUAUUAGUUAAUUCUUUUCAAAGUUUACUAUUUAAAUAUUAUAAGAAUGUUUUAUUUUUUUAUUGUGGGAUUUAAAGCACUUUAAUAUAUAUACUUUAUAUUCACAAGAAAAAAGUUAUGUUUUUUUAAUGUGGAAUAAAAAACAUUUUUCAUUUGAAUAUUUCUACUUAAAAAGAUAACAUACUAACAUAAUAUAUUUUCAAAGUGGAAUACAAAUCCUUUAGAAAUAAUUUUUAAAACUUUAUUAUUUAUAAUAUAUAUAACAUAUAUUCACAUGGAUUGUUUAUUAAUUUUUUCAUAUGAAAUUUUAAAACUUCAAAUAUAUUUUUUUAUUUAUUUUUCUAGGUUGAUUCGGAUCAAUUCCUGAUUCGGUUUGAUAACUAUGACAUAAACAUUCAAAGAAAAAAGCAGAAAAUGAAGUCGUUUCAAGAAAAAUGAACAAAAAACCUUGCUCUUGAUGCUCUUGUUUCAAAUAGUGGGAGAGAGUCAUUUUUUUUAUCAUCUCUCUCUUACACGCAAACAGAUUACGUUCCAAAAUCUAAUUUCUUGAUCCGGUUGUGCACAAAUCUUGUAACUUAACAAAUGCUAGAAAGUAGAAACCCUAAGACCAAUAGCAUGGACUUCUUCUCUUGCUACUUCUAUUGUUUAGAAAUCAAAAUUGACGAGACAAAUUAUAACAUUGAUGUUUUUGAUAUAUUACAUAUAUGAGAGUAUUUUGAAUUUUUUUUUAUGGGAGUUUAAAAACUAAAUUGAUUCAUAAAAUGUAAUUUUCAAAAUAAAAUAAAAAAAUUAAAAUUUAUGGAAUUGAGUGGCCAUUUGUUUACGCGAUUGCAGCAACUUUUAAAGCAAAUCGCGGAUGUGAAUAAAACUACAGUUUACUAUUCACUUAAAUUUAAAUAAAACAUACGGAUGCAAUGGAAAAUGACUCUACUUUUCAUGUGAAUAUAGCUGAAAUUUUACUAGAUCCAGUCAGACUGGAAUUAUGAAGAAUGACUUCACUUUUUCACGUGAACAAUGAAUUCUCUCUCCACAAUUAAUUUCAGCCCCAAGUCCUUUCAUCUUAGCAUUUUUUCACGUGCUAUUGCAGGCAGCUUCAUUUGCUGACACUGCCCCAAGUCCUUUCAUCUUAGCAUUUUUUCAUGAACACGCAUUGGACAGCUUUUAUGUCCUAUUAACUUGAAGUGCUGGGUAGAAAGGCAAAAACACGUCAACUAAUUAAAUUUUAAAACUUAUAUUUUAAAAAUUAUCAAUUUAAAUUUUAUAAAUUUUAAAAUCAUUAAAAAUUUAUACAAUCAAGAAACUAAUCGAUAUAUACAUAAACUAGUCUAAAUAUAUACAAUUAUCAAAAUAAAUAAAAAAUAACUUAAAAUUCACGACUACAUCAGCCUAAGUUCGUAACAAUCCAGUAAAAAUUAUUGAAUUUUUAAAAAAUAAAAUUUCAAAACAACUUUAUUAUAAUUUAAAAAAAAAAUAUUACCUCAAUCUAUUUAACAGACAGUAGCUAUUACAAAUUUAUAAUAAUGAAACAGUCAUCAUGCUCCUCCAAGAUUGUCCCCAACUGGCUUGCAUACCACAAACAAAUUAUGAAUGACGGCAUGUCUGUUGACAACCUUGAUAGCAACGUAUCAGAGUCUUGUGCUGUGUGUGCAUUUCCCCCCUCUCAAAUUCCAUAUUAUAAUUGGAUUUUUGUUUUAAAAAUGGACUUGUUUAUGGGUGGACAUCUUUUUCAGUGUUAAUUGAACCGAUUACACUGUUUAUAGGUGGUGGCGAUCAUCCACUAGCAUGAAGAUCCUUCAACCAUCUAACUUGAUGUUAUCCUUGCUCUGAUCAAACUGUCAGAAUUCAUUAAUCAGACUCUUAUAAAUGGUGCCAGCCUCAGCCUCGAUGGAUGCAAAAUCCCCUCCAAACCUUCCCGGUUCCGGCCUCAGCACCAAGAUGAAUACUUUUCGUUGGAAGAGUGUGUGUGUGUGUGUGUGUGUGUGUGUGUGUUGCCUUGCUCUUCCCUCUUCAAGAUGCAUUUGAAUUUCCAAUUUCCAUCAAGUCCGAUAAAGAAAAACGAAAAACAUUUGCAUCAAAGCAAGUUCAGAAUAGGAUGAAGGCAGCAAUUAAAGAUUGGAUAUAUGACGACGAGGAGGAGGAGGAGAAUCAGAAUUAAAUAGCUACAUAAAUUUGCCUCACACACUUACUUUCUCUUCAAUUUACAAUCAAGCUUACUAACAUAUCGGUUCACACCCCCACCUCCCUCUACAUCACCACUUGACUUCAGUAUCUUUCCAGUGUCCAGUGUAUAAUUUCCUACUCAGGAGACGAUGCAUUAGAGAGGUAAGAACAGAGAAUAGAUGCAUUUCGAUGAUUACCAAUCACAAGCCACCACAUAAAGCAGGAGGCUCGUUCCAUCAUUUUACUGAUUGAACAUGGUGGAUGAAUAACAAAUGACCAGACGUCACUUCUCAGACUAAUGAUGGAACAAACCUCGGUGCUAUUUCAAACUGCUGAAGCUACUGCCAAAAAGCUGAAUCCAGAUAUAAUAUAAACGCAACUAAGUGCUAUGAGUUUUUCCCUCUAGGUUUUGGUGACUGCCGAGGCUGGUUGUAUGGAGAUGCACGCACAUCACUUAAGCUCCUCAGUGGUUGUCCGUUCCUUGUAAUAAAUCCUGCAUUUGUUCUAAUGCCAUUUUUAGCAUUCAUGUUUGAUUUGUUACGAUCUGCUUGCAUAGUUUGGAAGUAGUACGAAGAGCUAGCCAUAUCCUUUAAGUUUGGUAAAGGCUUCAGUGCUUCAACAACUUCACUCAUCCGGGGCCUGGAUUUGGGGUCCCGGCUAAGACACUGGGCAGCCAAUUGAAUAGCUUUCUGAGCUCCUUUGAUUGAGAAAUGGCCUUCAAGGCGAGGGUCUAAUAUGCGGUAGAACCUUCUCUUGUCUCCAAAAUGUGGCCUUGCCCAUUCCACAAGGUUGUGCUCCCCAUUUGGUCGGUUUUUGUCCAUUGAUCUUCGGCCAGUGAGCAUUUCAAGUAAAACUACUCCAAAGCUGUAGACAUCGCUCUUUGAAGUCAAAUGUCCUAAACCAAAGUGGAAAGCAUUAGAUUGGCAUAACAUCAGUUUAUCAAAAGCAGCCCUGCCACGAUUUCUACAAACAGCAGUGGCUCAAAGACACGAGUAAAAAGAAUUGCACAGAUUUCUGCUGACCAAGAUAGUUGGAUAUGACAUAAAAGAUAUGGUCCUCCAAAACAUGACAUGUGGGAUAUCAUAACACUAUCUUAGCUAAAAUUAGAACAUGAUGAAUUACUUAAACAGCUUUUCAAACAACGGAAAUAAUUUUAUGAACAUAUAUAAAUCUCUCAUUAUCUUCAUGCCUUUUAAAACGUCCAAGAUUAAAUAAACACACGGGAUAAUGAUGGAUAAUGAUUAAAAACAGGACUCCAGCAAAAUACAGGAAGUUGCCAGUCAUGAAAAUUAGUUCAGAGAUAGCAUCCAUGACACAGAAGAACAGGUUUUGUAUGAAUGUUUCUGGCAUUACAGUCACUAGAUACAAAUGAUCUGGUCCUAUUUGAUACCAGGGUGUCUGAUCUUAUUUUGUCAUGAAAUAAAGCAAUACAAGAGUUCAAACUCAAUUGCAAACUUAAUCCAAACACCAUCUCAAAUUCUACCUUUCUUGACAAGCUUUCAAGUCUAGAUGAUCGAAGAGUAGAAGAUGGCUGUUUUAAUCAUUGGGUUCAAGCCAAAAAGAUAAAAGACUACUACUAGUUUUGCACUUUUCAAUAGUGACGAUGCCAUGGCAGACUAGCAAGAUCGGGUGGUAGCAGACAAGGUGAGGACCACUACAAUCAUGCUCUGAAGUCCACGAAAUUGCAGGGAGUUAUCUUUCAUAGAAAAAUCUCCAUUCUCCCCUCUACCCUCUCAGUGAUAUAAGAUUUGUGGCAUCACACAAUGCCAUGGAACAUGAUUUUCCUUUCACCCAUAUACUAGUGUAUGGUGGUGCUGUGAAAAUUAUAGCAGUAGAAUGAAGCCAAACAGAUAUAAGGUCAUCUCUUACUCCAAUUUCCUGAGGCUGAAAAUGAAUUGCAUUUAAUCCUUCUUAUAUAUAUAUAUAUAGCCAAGCCUGAAAAGUUGUGCCAAUUGUUCUGUUCAUUAGCACCAAUAAGCAUGUCCUAACCAAGUCUCAUUCAUAUAGGCAAACACUAAAUGCUGCAGUUUAAAUCCUUACCUCAGACAAUUUAGAACAUUCAAUUUUUAACAUGAUUGACUGACUGCCUCCUUAUCCAUUGCAAGGAAAUUCAACAACUAACAGGCAAUUCCUAUCGUUCAUUCAAAGGUAUCCAUACAUCUACACAUAACAUAACACGUAGAGGGAAAGGAAUUGAAGUCCACUAACCAGUCAUCACAUAUUCUGGGGCAGCAUAGCCAUAGGUUCCCAUAACUCUGGUAGACACAUGAGUUUUGCCUCCAUCAGGAGCAUCCUUGGCAAGUCCAAAAUCAGAAAGUUUGGAAUUGUAGUCCUAAAACAGUAUUGUCUUGUAUCAGAAUCAGAGAGGGACUGAAAAGAGGAAAUGAUUAGUGAAGUAAUUUCUAAUACAUGCAUAUAUUAAGCCACAUACCGCGUCUAAUAAUAUAUUAGAUGUUUUAAAAUCACGAUAUAUUACUGGUCUGUCAGCCUCCUCAUGAAGGAAAGCAAGACCUUGCGCAGCUCCAAGAGCAAUUUUCAUCCUGAUAGACCACGGAAGAGGCAAGGACCCUUCUGCACAUAACGUGGUUGUUACCAGAGAAAAGUAAGCAUCGAUUGCAGAUGAUAUCUCAAACAAAACAAGCAUAUGUGGGAAGAGAUUGUGUUGAUUUAGGGACCUAUAAAAUCAUUUUCUGAAGGAACGGUAACAUCUGAAACAGGUUUUUGAUUGGAAGAAUUAGGAAGUGGUUAGAUGAGUAAUAACUGCUUCUGGCUGUUUUAUACUUACAAGAACAAAAAGGUUACACACCGUUUAAGUAAAUGGAAAAAACAAUGAAGGCCCCCUAUAAACUCCUCAAACAUUCAAAAUCACCUUCUAAAACCUAUUUCUACAUGAUAUAUCUCUAGAUCCUUCUUCAUAAUGUUGACGCUAGCUAAUAAGUUUCCAACGGCAGACUCCUACAAUUCAAGAUUAAAGUUAAAUCAACUUUUACCAAACAAGGCAUCAAUCUACCUGCAUAGACAGCAAUAAAGAAUGCUACAGAGUUGUUGUUGUUGUUUAGGCAAUGUCACAGAAGACAAUAUUACUAAACUGGGAGGUCAAUAUACAGAAACACUUCUCUCCUAACCCAUGCAAGUGAUGACCCAAUAAUUAUCACCUUCAAGUGGACUGAUGCACAUCUAAAAAAUGCUAAUCUCCAAAGUUCUAAAAAAUAUUAUUGGUAGAAUUUUAAGGCUCUGAGACUUGUGGGGCUAGUAUUAGGAAAGCUCAUCAUGUACAAAUCAAGAACCUUGACACUUUCUACACAGACUUCAAGAGUGUGAUCUGAUUUAUGCACAUCAGAGAUCUUGCUCUUUUCUGUGGUAAAAUAGACAUAUCAUAAGUGAAUUAUCUCUUUAAAAAAAGGCAGAGAUAGAGCAAUGAUUCUUCUUGAACAUGUUUAGUUUCUACUCUGUCAAAUAUCCUGUAAAAUAGUGUAUCUUAUUAUGAAGUGUGUGAACACAAAUAAUUAUUGGUUUUAUGCACAUAGAACAUUAUGGUAAUAUACACUAGUUUUUCACAGUAAAAAUUUGAUAAGUGUAUCAGAGAUAAAUUAGGCAAAUUAUAGGCGAUAGCUUUCAUACUUCUGAAGAGGUGAUUCUCCAAACUUCCUCUAGGCAUGAACUCAUACACCAGCAACCUUUGAUCAUCUUCAAUGCAGUAACCAACCAAUUUUACCAAGUUUUUAUGGAGAAG
RNAcentral lists this long non-coding RNA (41583 nucleotides) under Populus tremula. Its description in RNAcentral is "long non-coding RNA (PTRE_LNC001369)". The record is from RNAcentral. Lineage: Eukaryota; Viridiplantae; Streptophyta; Magnoliopsida; Malpighiales; Salicaceae.